Molecule: ribosomal RNA, 2901 nt
Filed under: Escherichia coli
Lineage: Bacteria; Pseudomonadati; Pseudomonadota; Gammaproteobacteria; Enterobacterales; Enterobacteriaceae
Description: bacterial LSU rRNA
Rfam family: Bacterial large subunit ribosomal RNA
Source: RNAcentral
UUAAGCGACUAAGCGUACACGGUGGAUGCCCUGGCAGUCAGAGGCGAUGAAGGACGUGCUAAUCUGCGAUAAGCGUCGGUAAGGUGAUAUGAACCGUUAUAACCGGCGAUUUCCGAAUGGGGAAACCCAGUGUGUUUCGACACACUAUCAUUAACUGAAUCCAUAGGUUAAUGAGGCGAACCGGGGGAACUGAAACAUCUAAGUACCCCGAGGAAAAGAAAUCAACCGAGAUUCCCCCAGUAGCGGCGAGCGAACGGGGAGGAGCCCAGAGCCUGAAUCAGUAUGUGUGUUAGUGGAAGCGUCUGGAAAGGCGCGCGAUACAGGGUGACAGCCCCGUACACAAAAAUGCACAUAUUGUGAGCUCGAUGAGUAGGGCGGGACACGUGGUAUCCUGUCUGAAUAUGGGGGGACCAUCCUCCAAGGCUAAAUACUCCUGACUGACCGAUAGUGAACCAGUACCGUGAGGGAAAGGCGAAAAGAACCCCGGCGAGGGGAGUGAAAAAGAACCUGAAACCGUGUACGUACAAGCAGUGGGAGCACGCUUCGGCGUGUGACUGCGUACCUUUUGUAUAAUGGGUCAGCGACUUAUAUUCUGUAGCAAGGUUAACCGAAUAGGGGAGCCGAAGGGAAACCGAGUCUUAACUGGGCGUUAAGUUGCAGGGUAUAGACCCGAAACCCGGUGAUCUAGCCAUGGGCAGGUUGAAGGUUGGGUAACACUAACUGGAGGACCGAACCGACUAAUGUUGAAAAAUUAGCGGAUGACUUGUGGCUGGGGGUGAAAGGCCAAUCAAACCGGGAGAUAGCUGGUUCUCCCCGAAAGCUAUUUAGGUAGCGCCUCGUGAACUCAUCUCCGGGGGUAGAGCACUGUUUCGGCAAGGGGGUCAUCCCGACUUACCAACCCGAUGCAAACUGCGAAUACCGGAGAAUGUUAUCACGGGAGACACACGGCGGGUGCUAACGUCCGUCGUGAAGAGGGAAACAACCCAGACCGCCAGCUAAGGUCCCAAAGUCAUGGUUAAGUGGGAAACGAUGUGGGAAGGCCCAGACAGCCAGGAUGUUGGCUUAGAAGCAGCCAUCAUUUAAAGAAAGCGUAAUAGCUCACUGGUCGAGUCGGCCUGCGCGGAAGAUGUAACGGGGCUAAACCAUGCACCGAAGCUGCGGCAGCGACACUAUGUGUUGUUGGGUAGGGGAGCGUUCUGUAAGCCUGUGAAGGUGUGCUGUGAGGCAUGCUGGAGGUAUCAGAAGUGCGAAUGCUGACAUAAGUAACGAUAAAGCGGGUGAAAAGCCCGCUCGCCGGAAGACCAAGGGUUCCUGUCCAACGUUAAUCGGGGCAGGGUGAGUCGACCCCUAAGGCGAGGCCGAAAGGCGUAGUCGAUGGGAAACAGGUUAAUAUUCCUGUACUUGGUGUUACUGCGAAGGGGGGACGGAGAAGGCUAUGUUGGCCGGGCGACGGUUGUCCCGGUUUAAGCGUGUAGGCUGGUUUUCCAGGCAAAUCCGGAAAAUCAAGGCUGAGGCGUGAUGACGAGGCACUACGGUGCUGAAGCAACAAAUGCCCUGCUUCCAGGAAAAGCCUCUAAGCAUCAGGUAACAUCAAAUCGUACCCCAAACCGACACAGGUGGUCAGGUAGAGAAUACCAAGGCGCUUGAGAGAACUCGGGUGAAGGAACUAGGCAAAAUGGUGCCGUAACUUCGGGAGAAGGCACGCUGAUAUGUAGGUGAAGUCCCUUGCGGAUGGAGCUGAAAUCAGUCGAAGAUACCAGCUGGCUGCAACUGUUUAUUAAAAACACAGCACUGUGCAAACACGAAAGUGGACGUAUACGGUGUGACGCCUGCCCGGUGCCGGAAGGUUAAUUGAUGGGGUCAGCGCAAGCGAAGCUCUUGAUCGAAGCCCCGGUAAACGGCGGCCGUAACUAUAACGGUCCUAAGGUAGCGAAAUUCCUUGUCGGGUAAGUUCCGACCUGCACGAAUGGCGUAAUGAUGGCCAGGCUGUCUCCACCCGAGACUCAGUGAAAUUGAACUCGCUGUGAAGAUGCAGUGUACCCGCGGCAAGACGGAAAGACCCCGUGAACCUUUACUAUAGCUUGACACUGAACAUUGAGCCUUGAUGUGUAGGAUAGGUGGGAGGCUUGGAAGUGUGGACGCCAGUCUGCAUGGAGCCGACCUUGAAAUACCACCCUUUAAUGUUUGAUGUUCUAACGUUGACCCGUAAUCCGGGUUGCGGACAGUGUCUGGUGGGUAGUUUGACUGGGGCGGUCUCCUCCUAAAGAGUAACGGAGGAGCACGAAGGUUGGCUAAUCCUGGUCGGACAUCAGGAGGUUAGUGCAAUGGCAUAAGCCAGCUUGACUGCGAGCGUGACGGCGCGAGCAGGUGCGAAAGCAGGUCAUAGUGAUCCGGUGGUUCUGAAUGGAAGGGCCAUCGCUCAACGGAUAAAAGGUACUCCGGGGAUAACAGGCUGAUACCGCCCAAGAGUUCAUAUCGACGGCGGUGUUUGGCACCUCGAUGUCGGCUCAUCACAUCCUGGGGCUGAAGUAGGUCCCAAGGGUAUGGCUGUUCGCCAUUUAAAGUGGUACGCGAGCUGGGUUUAGAACGUCGUGAGACAGUUCGGUCCCUAUCUGCCGUGGGCGCUGGAGAACUGAGGGGGGCUGCUCCUAGUACGAGAGGACCGGAGUGGACGCAUCACUGGUGUUCGGGUUGUCAUGCCAAUGGCACUGCCCGGUAGCUAAAUGCGGAAGAGAUAAGUGCUGAAAGCAUCUAAGCACGAAACUUGCCCCGAGAUGAGUUCUCCCUGACUCCUUGAGAGUCCUGAAGGAACGUUGAAGACGACGACGUUGAUAGGCCGGGUGUGUAAGCGCAGCGAUGCGUUGAGCUAACCGGUACUAAUGAACCGUGAGGCUUAACCUU